Mytilus californianus (California mussel) is the source of this 787-nucleotide long non-coding RNA. RefSeq lists it as uncharacterized. The transcript has 2 exons. The record is from RefSeq and is a predicted model, not a curated record. NCBI's taxonomy places the organism in Eukaryota, Metazoa, Mollusca, Bivalvia, Mytilida, Mytilidae.
AGGGCUCGACCAUUAAAUCGCGUUAUCAGAGGAAGACCAGCAAUAGUUCAUUAGCGGGUCAAAGCAGACGCGCAUGUCUAAAUUUAUUACACUACAUAUAAAUUAACUGUUCUUGCACUCCUCAUCACAAAUUUUGCAAACGCUAUCUUCAAGGAUUUAUAUUGAUUUAAGGUCAGAUUAUUGAGUUAAUUUAGUAUACACAUGAUUACUUGAUACCCACCCAGCCUCUCCCUUUAUUUUCGAUACUGCUGUUUUUGUUUUUAUUUUACAGAUUUAUGUGUGUUGUCUGUACAUAUACUUCAACUUUAACGAAAACCUGUCACGGCUUUUGGAUCUGUUUGUGUUUAUGUAAACACAAAUAACCGAACUAUGACCUCCAUAUGGUGAAGUGAUAAUGUAUUGACAAUAAUAAUGCACUGAUCAAAGAUGAUGUUAUGACCGUCUGUUGCCAGAGGUCAUGGACGGCGGACUUUAUAGGCUGCACCAGUACCGAUAAACUUGAUUUAUUAUUAUUUAAUUUAGAACAUUAAUCCAUCUAAUCUUCAUUUACACUUCAAACGUAGUUUCUCAUGUUGAUUUGGACAUCUGUUGCCAGGGUUCAAUUCAGCACACUAUUAAUUCAUAAUUUCAUUACAUUUUAGUUUAAUUUCAAUUUUAAUUAUCUACUCUAUUUUAAAGAUUUGAUUUGCAAUUUUAAUUUACGGUAACCCAAAGACCCUUUGUUCAUGGGUUGGUAACCGACAGAAGCCGUGAUCUUACUUCGCCAAUAAAUAUAUAUUAUUCUUAA